This 453-nucleotide ribosomal RNA is filed under the name uncultured Bacteroides sp. RNAcentral's name for it is "partial 16S ribosomal RNA". It matches the Rfam family "Bacterial small subunit ribosomal RNA", at positions 341 to 792 of the family's 1533-position model. The record is from RNAcentral. Lineage: Bacteria; Pseudomonadati; Bacteroidota; Bacteroidia; Bacteroidales; Bacteroidaceae.
ACGGGAGGCAGCAGUGAGGAAUAUUGGUCAAUGGGCGGAAGCCUGAACCAGCCAAGUCGCGUGAAGGAUGAAGGUAUUAUGUAUUGUAAACUUCUUUAGACGUAGAGAAAUAAGGCGCUCGUGAGCGCUGAUGCUAGUAUACGUAGAAUAAGGAUCGGCUAACUCCGUGCCAGCAGCCGCGGUAAUACGGAGGAUCCGAGCGUUAUCCGGAUUUAUUGGGUUUAAAGGGUGCGCAGGCGGUCGAUUAAGUCAGUGGUCAAAUCACGGUGCUCAACGCCGUUCCGCCAUUGAUACUGGUUGACUUGAUUCCGGUCGAGGCAGGCGGAAUUCGUAGUGUAGCGGUGAAAUGCAUAGAUAUUACGAAGAACUCCGAUUGCGUAGGCAGCUUACCAGGCCGGCAAUGACGCUCAUGCACGAAAGUGCGGGGAUCGAACAGGAUUAGAUACCCUGGUA